UCUCUCUCUCCUCCCAGUCCCUCCCUCCCCGUCUCUCUCUCUCUCUCUCUCUCUCUCUCUCUCUCUCUCUCUCUCCCUCUCUCCCUCCCUGUGUCUCCGUCUCCAGGUGCGUUUCUCCUCCCAGUCUCUGUUUGACCACCUGAUGCUGAUUCAGCAGGAUGCAGCAGCGCUGGGACAGUUUAGUGAAGCACUGCUGCAUGUCUUCAGAGACAACCUGAGAAAUGACAGGGUGUCUAUCCCCUUCCUGAAGAUGCUGGACCAGAUGCUGGCUAGAGCCUGUUUUGACACCUUCACUACAGACCAGGAUCAUCAGUUCUGUGUGGACUUGUUGUCUCUCUGUAAGGAAGAGAUUAAGAAGUCCAAGGACACUCAGAAGCUCCGCUCCGCCAUCGCUGUGUUCUGUGGUCUGAUCCAGUUCCAGGGAGAGGUCCGUAAGAAGGUUCUGUUCCAGCUGCUGCUGCUCCUCUGUCACCCCUUCCCUGUGAUCAGGAAGACCACAGCCAGCCAGGUGUAAUCUCUCUUUCUCUCUCUCUUUCUGUCUUUCUCUUUCUCUCUCUUUCUCUCUACAGAUCAGGAAGACCACAGCCAACCAGCUGUAAUCUCUCUUUGUCUUUACUGAUCAGGAAGACCACAGCCAACCAGGUGUAAUCUCUCUUUCUCUCUACAGAUCAGGAAGACCACAGCCAGCCAGGUGUAAUCUCUCUUUCUCUCUACAGAUCAGGAAGACCACAGCCAGCCAGGUGUAAUCUCUCUUUCUCUCUACAGAUCAGGAAGACCACAGCAAGCCAGGUGUAAUCUCUCUUUCUCUCUCUCUUUCUGUCUUUCUCUCUCUUUCUCUUCACAGAUCAGGAAGACCACAGCCAGCCAGGUGUAAUCUCUCUUUCUCUCUACAGAUCAGGAAGACCACAGCCAGCCAGGUGUAAUCUCUCUUUCUCUCUACAGAUCAGGAAGACCACAGCCAGCCAGGUGUAAUCUCUCUUUCUCUCUACAGAUCAGGAAGAC
RNA transcript from Oncorhynchus nerka (sockeye salmon), 1002 nucleotides. It is a transcript of the gene named tubulin-specific chaperone D-like, with no coding region annotated. Lineage: Eukaryota; Metazoa; Chordata; Actinopteri; Salmoniformes; Salmonidae. The transcript is spliced from 6 exons. The record is from RefSeq and is a predicted model, not a curated record.